Non-coding RNA from Anaerosporobacter mobilis DSM 15930, 180 nucleotides. It matches the Rfam family "6S / SsrS RNA". Rfam says of the family: E. coli 6S RNA was the first non coding RNA to be sequenced, but its function was unknown until recently. It consists of 184 nucleotides that fold into an extended hairpin structure with a large single-stranded internal bulge. The record is from Rfam. NCBI's taxonomy places the organism in Bacteria, Bacillati, Bacillota, Clostridia, Lachnospirales, Lachnospiraceae.
CUAUUCCUGGAAUGUGCGACACUCUUGCUAUUUUGAACCUACAUUCAUGAAUAAGGGAUACCAAUAUUUAUGAGAAUAUGCCAGGCCAUCGUUUGGAGUGGAAGGCAGACGCUUGUGUGAGGUAACCCACCUAGCUAUAGCUAGGAGUCAAAAUACAGGAAACGGCAUUUUGGGGUAAUU